ACAGCAACAGCAACAAUUUCUCUUGCUACAACAAUUACAGAAGCAAGCCCAACAGCAGCAGCAAGCGGCAGCGAUUUCGCGAUUUCCUUCCAACAUCGAUGCCCACCUCCGCCCCACGGGCCUCCAUCGUCCUCUCAAUCUCCAGCACCAAAACCCUAACCCUAACCCUAAUUCUAAUCCCAAUAUGCACCAGCAGGGAUCCAGUUUGGCCCAAAAUGCCCAGGAAGUGCAGC
Molecule: unclassified non-coding RNA, 233 nt
Filed under: Hevea brasiliensis (rubber tree)
Lineage: Eukaryota; Viridiplantae; Streptophyta; Magnoliopsida; Malpighiales; Euphorbiaceae
Source: RNAcentral